Molecule: unclassified non-coding RNA, 1650 nt
Filed under: uncultured fungus
Lineage: Eukaryota; Fungi
Description: sequence contains 18S rRNA gene, ITS1, 5.8S rRNA gene, ITS2, 28S rRNA gene
Rfam family: Eukaryotic large subunit ribosomal RNA (bases 611-1650)
Source: RNAcentral
GGAAGGAUCAUUAACAAAUCCUGAAUUGUUGUUUGUAUGGGGUGGUGUAUGCGUGUCAUUUGAACAAAGGAGUGUAUAUUCAUUCAUUUCUAUGUUCAUCAUUUGAUAAUCAUUCACUCUUCAUAACAACAACAAUACACACGUUCCAUGUGCAUUCAUUUGUGCAUGAUAAAACACAUUUCUACGAAUCAUCUGAUUGUCACAUAAUCUAAUUCAUAAAAAGACUUUUAACAAUGGAUCUCUAGGCUCUUGCAUCGAUGAAGAACGCAGUGAAGUGCGAAAAGUAAUGCGAUUUGCAUGCUCUGUGAGUCAUCGAAUCUUUGAACGCAUAUGGCACCUUUUGACUUUUGUGAAAAGGUAUGCCUGUUUGAGAAUCAUUUUAUAUUAUAUUUCUUUUUGUUUCUUUUGAUUGAUAUUCAUGAAUUCAUUUUUAUGAAUCCUCUAUCAAAGGGUAAAACAAAUUGACAUAUCAAUUGGACUUUUAUCAUUAAUCGUCUUGAAUUCUGAAAUGGAUUGACUUGUUGAUAGAUAUAAAUGGAAUAGAAGAAUGGAUGAUGAAUUCAUUUGAUAUUGUAUAUAUUAUUUUAACAUGUCAAACAACCCAUAAUCAUGAUCUCAAAUCAGGCAAGGUUACCCGCUGAACUUAAGCAUAUCAGUAAGCGGAGGAAAAGAAACUAACAAGGAUUCCCUCAGUAACGGCGAGUGAAGUGGGAAGAGCUCAAAUUUUAAAUCCAAGAGUGUAACAACUCUUUGAAUUGUAGUUUAUAGAUAUGAAUCAUGGUUGAUGUAUUGAUGUGCAAGUCUCUUGGAAUAGAGUAUCACAGAGGGUGAGAAUCCCGUUUGGAUAUCAAUGUCAUCGAUCGAUUGAAUCAUGUCAAAGAGUCGAGUUGUUUGGGAAUGCAGCUCAAAAGGGGUGGUAAAUUCCAUCUAAAGCUAAAUAUUGGCAAGAGACCGAUAGCAAACAAGUACUGUGAAGGAAAGAUGAAAAGCACCUUGAAAAGGGAGUUAAAUAGUGCGUGAAAUUGUUAAAAGGGAAACGAUUGGUACCAGUAUCGAUUUCAUAUUAGUUAAAUAGUCGAGUCAUCGUCUAUGAUUUCUAAUGUGAAUGAGUCAAUGAUAGUUUGUGAUUUCGCAUGACUCGCUAAAGAAAGAUGACGUCUUUUGACGUUUUAUAGUCUUUGGAAUUAUGAGUGCGUCACGACAGACUGUAUUUAAAUAUUCAUGGUAAUCUAUUCAAUAUAUCAUGUUGGUUGAAACAUUCAUGAACAGCAUGCUGAUUAUGAGUGUCCAGGGCAACAUUAAUUGUAGCACAUGGUGACAUUGACGAAAUGGUUCUAAACGACCCGUCUUGAAACACGGACCAAGGAGUCUAACGUAUAUGCAAGUAUUUGAGUGGUAAACUCGAAUGCGAAAUGAAAGUGAACGAUGGGAAUAUUGAAUUAUGCACCAUCGACCGAUCUUGAUAUCUUUUGAUAGAUUCGAGUCAGAGCAUAUCUGUUGGGACCCGAAAGAUGGUGAACUAUGCCUGAAUAGGGUGAAGCCAGAGGAAACUCUGGUGGAAGCUCGUAGCCGUUCUGACGUGCAAAUCGAUGGUCAAAUUUGGGUAUAGGGGCGAAAGACUAAUCGAACCAUCUAGUAGCUGGUUCCCUC